GAAAUGCGAUAAGUAAUGUGAAUUGCAGAAUUCAGUGAAUCAUCGAAUCUUUGAACGCACCUUGCGCUCCUAGGUAUUCCUUGGAGCAUGCCUGUUUGAGUAUCAUGAAAUCUUCAAAGUAAAUCUUUUGUUAACUCAAUUGGUUUCUACUUUGGUAUUGGAGGUCUUUGCAGCUUCACACCUGCUCCUCUUUGUUCAUUAGCUGGAUCUCAGUGUUAUGCUUGGUUCCACUCGGCGUGAUAAGUUAUCUAUCUCUGAGGACACUGUAAAAGGUGGCCAAGGUAAAUGCAGAUGAACCGCUUCUAAUAGUCCAUUGACUUGGACAAUACUUUUAUGAUCUGAUCUCAAAUCAGGUAGGACUACCCGCUGAACUUAAGC
This 378-nucleotide unclassified non-coding RNA is filed under the name plant metagenome. RNAcentral describes it as "partial contains 5.8S ribosomal RNA, internal transcribed spacer 2, and large subunit ribosomal RNA". The stretch from base 1 to 105 matches the Rfam family "5.8S ribosomal RNA", at positions 50 to 154 of the family's 154-position model. The record is from RNAcentral.